UACGGAGGGGGUUAGCGUUGUUCGGAAUGACUGGGCGUAAAGAGCUCGUAGGCGGUCUGUCGCGUCGGCUGUGAAAACCCGAGGCUCAACCUCGGGCCUGCAGUCGAUACGGGCAAACUAGAGUACUGCAGGGGAGACUGGAAUUCCUGGUGUAGCGGUGAAAUGCGCAGAUAUCAGGAGGAACACCGGUGGCGAAGGCGGGUCUCUGGGCAGUAACUGACGCUGAGGAGCGAAAGCGUGGGGAGCAAACAGG
Molecule: ribosomal RNA, 253 nt
Filed under: uncultured bacterium
Lineage: Bacteria
Description: partial 16S ribosomal RNA
Rfam family: Bacterial small subunit ribosomal RNA
Source: RNAcentral